UGAAGCCGGAAUUGCUAGUAAUGGCAGGUCAGCAUACUGCCGUGAAUACGUUCCCGGGCCUUGUACACACCGCCCGUCACACCAUGAGAGUUGGGGAUACCCGAAGCCUGUGAGCUAACUAUUUAUAGGAGCAGCAGUCGAAGGUAGAAUCAAUGAUUGGGGUGAAGUCGUAACAAGGUACC
RNAcentral lists this ribosomal RNA (182 nucleotides) under uncultured bacterium. Its description in RNAcentral is "partial 16S ribosomal RNA". It matches the Rfam family "Bacterial small subunit ribosomal RNA", at positions 1321 to 1500 of the family's 1533-position model. The record is from RNAcentral.